GUAGAGGAGACAGCGUAGGGGACACAGGUAAGCCUUGGGGGGUCCUUGGACCCUUGGCCAUGUGUCCUCUUCUCCUCCUCCAGG
Molecule: non-coding RNA, 84 nt
Organism: Cricetulus griseus (Chinese hamster)
Lineage: Eukaryota; Metazoa; Chordata; Mammalia; Rodentia; Cricetidae
Source: Rfam